This is a long non-coding RNA of Gallus gallus (chicken), 3362 nucleotides long. RefSeq lists it as uncharacterized. The record is from RefSeq and is a predicted model, not a curated record. NCBI's taxonomy places the organism in Eukaryota, Metazoa, Chordata, Aves, Galliformes, Phasianidae. The transcript is spliced from 3 exons.
AGGUCCCUUCCAACUCUAAGGAUUCCACGAUUCUGUGAUUCUAUGAUUCUAUAUAUCUUGAAUACGAUAUUGAAUGCACAUUGAAUGUCAUAUGCACACCUGCCUUAUCAAAUACAGUCCCUUUCAGCCUUCCAAAUCCUCAAGCUCAUUUUUGGUGCUCUACAGGAGUUAAAUUCUAAAAUGCAGCAGCAUCUUAUGAUAACUGAGUAUACUACAAGCUUCCCUGCUUGCAUUCUGCAAUACAUUCAUGUGGAGUUGGGACUAGCCUCCAGUUUCAAAGAGCAAGGCUCUACAUAAUUGUGUAGCCAUUAGUUUCAUAAGAUAUUACCGUUAGUGGUUUCAGCCAUUAGACAAAGUCAGAUUUCAGUGGACUGUUUCCAUGUGACUAUGAUCUCUUUGUAGAGCAGAAAGGAGCUGAAAAACAAAACAAAACAAAAGAACGUGCUUUCAACACACUUCGGUUUGCCUUAGGCAAAGCUGAUGCAACCAUUUCAUCAUGAUCCUUGAGGUACAUACUGUGUUUCUGAGUGGGGAAGUGAGCCAAAGGCGCUUAGUAAGUGAAAGAUAACUGUGGUUUCCCAAGGAUCCCAUUGCUACCCUGUGGACUGGGCUUGGCAGAACACAUAAAAGUAUCUGAGGGUGAUCCAGUGAUGGCAGAGCCAGCCUGUUUCCUUCUGCAUGCCAAGACUGUGCAAUCCCCUGGUGACCGCACCUUCCUGAUUCCGCUGCUGGUCGUGCAACACAUCUCAGCUGAGGUCACCCUGAGUCAAACUUUGGCUUCCCUCAUGGUGCAGGAUCUGUGUAGUACUCAGUGGACUCUUACUGUACUUCUCUUUUUCCAGUCACUGAAUGACGUCCACAGUAAAACACUCAGUCCGUCAUUUUAUUUUUUAUUUUUUAACUUGUAAGUAAGGCUCAUGAUGUGCUCUGUAGUAAAUAAUUAUUUUCUGUAAAUGCUUUUCUUUUAACAGAGCCUAUUAAUGAUAUAUUUGUUUGAAAUGCUAUUAUGCAAAAUGUAAUGUUUUGUGUAAAAAGUUAAAUUGUUAUCAGGAACUUGUUUUAUCAUUUCGCAUGGAAACAUUGAAAAAAAAUCAUAUAUAGGUGCUUAGAAAUGUUUUCUAAAACAUGUAGGUCUUUCUGUAGAAUAAUUAACAUGACAUUUCUAUGAGAUUUUCUCAGGGAAAAGAAAUCAAAAUAUUAUGACUUAGUAUCUCAUUGUAUAAAAGGCCAAAAAGCCAUAGAGUUCGAAGAAGUUAUUUAAUUUUGAUUUUGUUUGUGUAUGUUUGUACGUGCAAAGUCAUCUGUCCAGACUUAUUUGCAGGAAAAGAUGCUUGGAAGUCUUCUGAUGAUUGGUCCAAGUUUGGUGAUUGGCUGAAAAAUUGAGAUGCCGGAAAAAUAAACAGAAUCACAGAAUUGCAGGGUUUGGAAAGGACCUCAGGAGAUCAAUGAGUCUAACUCCCUUGCUAAAGCAGAAACCCUACAACAGGUCACGCAGGUCACUGAUGAAGAUGUUGAACAAGACCAGACCCAGCACCAACCUCUGGGGAACACCACUUGUUAUAGGCCUGCGGGACAAAGACAUUAUGAACAGAAGACCUUGCAAAUGAGUAAACAAGCUUGGUAGCUACUUGCGCCAGACGUAAACACACACGAGGCAUCUGGCUGGUACAUGUGACCAGGAGGUCGUUAUGCAGGUAUAAAAGGUUGUGAGCACAUAGAAUAAACGUCAUCGUUCUGCACCAGCAAUGGAGUUUGUUUGGAGGACUCGCCUGCCACACAGGCCUCCAAUCAGACUCUGCACCACUGAUGACAAUCGACUGAGCUCUGCCAGUCAGCCAGUUCUCAGUCCACCUCACCGUCCACUCAUCUAUCCAACACUUUCUAAGUUUCAUAAAAAAGAUGUUGUGGGAGACAGUGUCAAAUGCCUUGCUGAAAUCAAGGUACACAACAUCCACUACUCUCCUCCCAUCUAUUCAGCCAGUGAUGGAAGGCUACCAGGUUGAUCAAGCAUGAUUUCCCCUUGGUGAAUCCAUGCUUACUACUCCUGAUAACCUUCUUCUUUUCCAGUUGCUUGUAGAGGGUAUUCAGGACAAGUUGUUCCAUUACCUUUCCAGGGAUGGAGGUGAGUCUGACUGGCCUGUGGUUUCCCAGAUCCUCCUUCUUACCCUUUUUGAAGACUUGAGUGACACUGGCUAUCAGCAGAGAUAUUCUGCUGCCUUAAGAACACAGAAGUGCAAGACAUUGGCAAGACAAUACUGUGAAGAGGCCAAACUAAUUAGAGACCAAGCUAGUUGACUUACUGGGAGAGCAAAUCUCUUUCUUAAUCUGUUAGGAGUAGCUAUAUUGAAAGUUGCUAGGUUUAGGUAUGUGGUGAGAAGGUUAUGGGAGACAUAACUGAAUCAUAUCCAAAGAGCUCCUGUCUCAAAGGAGUCAGUUGUUGUGGAAACUUCUUAGUUUGGAAUCUGUACCCACUCUGCUGCAAUGGGAAGGAAGGGUUGGACUUGGCCUGGCAUUUCUUACUGGCAGUUCACAUGUUUCAAAUGUCAGUUCCAGUGAAUAACAUUUUUUGGCAUUUAAUUUGUAUGUAUGUGUUGGCAGAUAAGUUGGUAUUUGCAAGGCUGAUGUAUCGUAAUCGUAAACAGAUUUCACGCCCAGGGGAAAGGGGCUGAAAAUAGUCUUGAGGUGAUAUAAAACACUUCUCUGAUACCCCUCUCCCACUAGUACUUUCUCUUUGCCUGCAUGUUGGAAACUGCUUCAAGGGUAAAUGCUUUCUGGGUACAGUGCCUGGGCAAGAUGUACUUCAAGUGAAUUUUCAAAGUAUCUUCCAUAUCUUAUACGUUGGCUUUCCUGCAGUAAAUAGCUCAGAUGCUAACUUACAGUUGUUGUCAAUUUUUUGACUUUCUAAUAAGUAAUGUUCACUGGAGAGGCAUUUAUUUCUCUUUCUGUCUGCACGAAUAAAACAAAAAUUCAUUCAGCUCUUCAGAGAAUGUCAAGCUUUUUUACCACUUAGGCAAGUACUUAAUCAAUUGUCCACUGCAUCCAUUCCCUUUGGUGUAUGUUAUCCAUGUCGUGUUUUUAUUUAAUUCUAUUUUUUUUUUCUCUAUUGGAUGAUUUCAAGUUAACAACCCAUAAUAUUUACCUGAAGUAAUGAUUUAUUUAAAGUGUAUGAAAGAAAAUAUGGUAGCAACAUGAUCUUGGGACACUUAUACAUCUUCAUCUUUUCAUAUUUUCCAGUACCGGUUUUACUAUGUGUGAUAAAUUUGCCUUUGCUUAUAUUGCAGAGCUGCCCUGAAGUAUCUAAAGGAACAGUGUGGUGCAAAGAAAUUAGAGACUCUUUGUUUUUGAUGGGAUGGUGUUGCUGU